Molecule: unclassified non-coding RNA, 343 nt
Filed under: soil metagenome
Description: partial contains 5.8S ribosomal RNA, internal transcribed spacer 2, and large subunit ribosomal RNA
Rfam family: 5.8S ribosomal RNA (bases 1-120)
Source: RNAcentral
GAUGAAGAACGUAGCGAAAUGCGAUAAGUAAUGUGAAUUGCAGAAUUCAGUGAAUCAUCGAAUCUUUGAACGCACAUUGCGCCCGCCAGCAUUCUGGCGGGCAUGCCUGUUCGAGCGUCAUUUCAACCCUCGAGCCCCCCCGGGGGCCUCGGUGUUGGGGGACGGCACACCAGCCGCCCCCGAAAUGCAGUGGCGACCCCGCCGCAGCCUCCCCUGCAUAGUAGCACACACCUCGCACCGGAGCGCGGAGGCGGUCACGCCGUAAAACGCCCAACUUUCUUAGAGUUGACCUCGGAUCAGGUAGGAAUACCCGCUGAACUUAAGCAUAUCAAUAAGCGGAGGA